AUGCCCUGGUUAGGCAGGAUUGCUGGGUUCUGUACCAAAAACCUGUCAAAUCGCACUCUGAGGAGCUCUCCCAGGCAGACCCAGACAGGACUUUGCAGGAGCUUGCCUGGCAAACCCCACAUCGGUCGGGCACCCCCCCAUGCAGCUGAGCAAGGUGGCAGCAGCACCCCAAAAGCACCCAGCUGGGGGCACGGGUCCGGGGGACACAACCGCUGCGGGGCCAGCGGGGCAGGCCGCUGCUCAUCCGCACCUCGCUCCCCGUGCCAAGCAGCAAGGCCAGGAGCCCAGCCGGCCUCCCGCUGCCUCCCCUGGGGCCGGGAGGGGACACCCAGCGGGGACACGGAGCGGGGACACCACCACGCCGUGCCCCCCACCCCCGAGCUGCUCCUGUUGCACUGCGGCACGGGUCCGGCCGUGGGGCCGCCAGCCUCCAGCCUCCGCUGCCCGUGCCGGCUGCUCGAGCGGCAGCUCCGCUCCCCUCCCCUCCGUCCCUUCCAUCCCUUCGUCCUUCCGUCCCUCCCGGCCCCAAACCCCCCGGCCCGGCCGUACCGGAGCGGCCCCGCUGGGCAGCGCCGUCUCCAGGCAGCGGCGCCCCGGAACCAAAGCGGCCGCCAGGAAGCGCCGGGCCCGGCCCGGCCCCGCUCGGAGCCCGCAGAGCCGGGAGCGGGCCCCCCCGUGCGGCCGCGGGGACGGGAGCGGGGCCCGGCGGCUCCCGGGGGAGGGCUGAGGUGGGAAGGGGCCUCCUGGGUCGUCUGCCCCGGCCCCUGCCCCAGCAGGGACAGCCAGGGCCGCGUCCCGUCAGGGUUUGAACAUCUCCAGAGGAGGAGGCUCCACAGCCCCUGUGGGCAGCCUGUGCUCAGUCACCCUCACAAUGAAGUCCUUCCUCACACGGUGAUGAAACCUCCUGUGGUCCAAUUUCUAGCCAUUAACCCUCACCCUAUCACAGAGAAGUUUGACCCCAUCCUCUUCACAUUGUCCCCUCAGGUUGAGAUAGAGGUUGGUGAGAUCCCUUCUCUAGGCUAA
RNAcentral lists this long non-coding RNA (1023 nucleotides) under Anas zonorhyncha (Eastern spot-billed duck). RNAcentral describes it as "lncRNA (ENSAZOG00000009811.1)". The record is from RNAcentral. Lineage: Eukaryota; Metazoa; Chordata; Aves; Anseriformes; Anatidae.